Long non-coding RNA from Oncorhynchus kisutch (coho salmon), 985 nucleotides. RefSeq lists it as uncharacterized. The record is from RefSeq and is a predicted model, not a curated record. The transcript is spliced from 2 exons. NCBI's taxonomy places the organism in Eukaryota, Metazoa, Chordata, Actinopteri, Salmoniformes, Salmonidae.
CCCGGUAACUAGCCUACAUAUCUAUUCUCGCAACUCAGACAAACAUUUCUCGGUUGUGUCGACAUCUCGUUUAUUGUACUGAAAGUAGCCAGUCGUUUCACCCGCAAUUUAAAUUUCCAAUAUGAUAAAGGAAAUGACUCUUACCUUUUCUUCCGAGAGUGAACUGAUAUUCUUGACUCCACUGACUCUCACUAUGUGACCAGCAGAACCAGGAAGCGACACAGACUGCCCUAGUGUACACUAUUUCACACGGUGCCGCGCGGUGAAACACCACUUCUCAUUCAUUUUCAAUUGAAGAGACGCGGAGACCAACGCGGACCCUUGGACGGCGCGGAGGAGGCGAAAAAAAACGUAAACGUUUCCCAACGUUAUGCAAAUCACCAGCUGCGACCGCUGAGCGAUGACCAAUCAUAUCGAGUUGUUUCCAUGACGAAUUUGACGCAAUGCGACCCAACAUUGGAGACUUUCUACAACAAAGAUGGCGGACAAAAAUACUAGGACAGAUGCAAAUGGACUCCUAAGAAACAACCAGCAAACCAGACUGUCGUCUUGUGAAACAUUGGAUGUAAAGAAUCUAGCUUGCCUUGCUGAUAUUUGCCGUGCAAUGCAGCUGAAGUAACGUAGCAAACUAUUUUCUUGCUUAUUGUGCAGCGGAGGAUAGAACUACCUGUAUGCCUUCGGAUGUGUAUCUAGCUAUCUAGCCGAUCUGUGUAUGGACCCUAAAACGUUUGGUAUACAUAUUAGUUCAGAACCUAGCUAUGAACCUCAGCUAUCAUAGCCAGUUGUAUCAACUUCAAAACAAUCUGAAUGACAUUAAUGAAGCCUAUGGACUGAGUAGAAUAUAAUAUAACGUUUUGCCAAGGAUGUAAGUCGUAUAUACAUGUAGUUAUUACCAUGCACGAGGUCCCCACAUUGUUGCCUGUACAUUGGAAUAUAUUCACUGUUGAUGUACUCUACCUUGGCAAAUAAAGGUGCAGUUCAGGUA